RNAcentral lists this ribosomal RNA (326 nucleotides) under uncultured bacterium. Its description in RNAcentral is "bacterial SSU rRNA". It matches the Rfam family "Bacterial small subunit ribosomal RNA", at positions 28 to 334 of the family's 1533-position model. The record is from RNAcentral.
GAUGAACGCUGGCGGCGUGCUUAACACAUGCAAGUCGAGCGAAGCGCUUAAGUUUGAUUCUUCGGAUGAAGACUUUUGUGACUGAGCGGCGGACGGGUGAGUAACGCGUGGGUAACCUGCCUCAUACAGGGGGAUAACAGUUGGAAACGACUGCUAAUACCGCAUAAGCCCACAGCUCAGCAUCGAGCAGAGGGAAAAGGAGUGAUCCGCUUUGAGAUGGCCUCGCGUCCGAUUAGCUGGUUGGUGAGGUAACGGCCCACCAAGGCGACGAUCGGUAGCCGGACUGAGAGGUUGAACGGCCACAUUGGGACUGAGACACGGCCCAG